UAUUUUAAAGAGAGUUUGAUCCUGGCUCAGGACGAACGCUGGCGGCGUGCCUAAUACAUGCAAGUCGAACGAACGGAGGAAGAGCUUGCUCUUCCAAUGUUAGUGGCGGACGGGUGAGUAACACGUGGGCAACCUGCCUGUAAGUUGGGGAUAACUCCGGGAAACCGGGG
RNAcentral lists this ribosomal RNA (170 nucleotides) under Listeria monocytogenes. RNAcentral's name for it is "partial 16S ribosomal RNA". It matches the Rfam family "Bacterial small subunit ribosomal RNA", at positions 1 to 162 of the family's 1533-position model. The record is from RNAcentral. Lineage: Bacteria; Bacillati; Bacillota; Bacilli; Caryophanales; Listeriaceae.